RNAcentral lists this ribosomal RNA (496 nucleotides) under uncultured bacterium. RNAcentral describes it as "partial 16S ribosomal RNA". It matches the Rfam family "Bacterial small subunit ribosomal RNA", at positions 28 to 507 of the family's 1533-position model. The record is from RNAcentral.
GAUGAACGCUGGCGGCGUGCCUAAUACAUGCAAGUCGAGCGAACAGACGAGGAGUUUGCUCCUCUGACGUUAGCGGCGGACGGGUGAGUAACACGUGGAUAACCUACCUAUAAGACUGGGAUAACUUCGGGAAACCGGAGCUAAUACCGGAUAAUAUAUUGAACCGCAUGGUUCAAUAGUGAAAGACGGUUUUGCUGUCACUUAUAGAUGGAUCCGCGCCGCUUUAGCUAGUUGGUAAGGUAACGGCUUACCAAGGCGGCGAUGCGUAGCCGACCUGAGAGGGGGAUCGGCAAAACGGAAGAGAGGCCACGGGCAAACAUCCGAGGGGAGACAAGGAGAGGAAUUCUUCGGCAGGGGGCAAAGGCCGAUCGGGCCAACGCGGGGGGAGGAAGAAGGGGCUACGGUUGGUAAAACUUUUAGGUUGGGGGAAAACAAAUUUAUAUGGUACAUUGAGCGUUUGACGGUACCCAAAAAAGAAGGGACGGCUAAAUUAGUG